Molecule: ribosomal RNA, 253 nt
Filed under: uncultured bacterium
Lineage: Bacteria
Description: partial 16S ribosomal RNA
Rfam family: Bacterial small subunit ribosomal RNA
Source: RNAcentral
UACAGAGGUCCCGAGCGUUGUUCGGAUUCACUGGGCGUAAAGGGUGCGUAGGUGGCUGGGAAAGUUUGAUGUGAAAGCUCAGGGCUUAACCCUGAAAUGGCAUUGAAUACUGCCUGGCUGGAGGUUUGGAGGGGGGACUGGAAUUCUUGGUGUAGCAGUGAAAUGCGUAGAUAUCAAGAGGAAUACCGAUGGCGAAGGCAGGUCUCUGGGCUGACACUGACGCUCAUGCACGAAAGCGUGGGGAGCAAACAGG